CAAGAUACCAGAAGCCGGG
Molecule: unclassified non-coding RNA, 19 nt
Filed under: Mus musculus (house mouse)
Lineage: Eukaryota; Metazoa; Chordata; Mammalia; Rodentia; Muridae
Description: oocyte_clustered_small_RNA9278
Source: RNAcentral